AUGGAAGAAAAUAUCCAAGGUCUUUGUUUUUAGGACAGUGGCACUGGGGAAAUGACAAGUCAGGAGGUCCUUGGCCUUUUUGUUCCUGAUGUUUGGCAGCUGUGUCACUGGGUAAUGAUUGACUCCUCCUGCACUCCUGCUGCCCUCCCUCUGCCGUCCUCAUGCCAGGCAUGGGGCAGGCACUGCCAUCCUCUCUUUGGUCCCAAGUGUCUUUUUCUAACAAAUGUCUUCAUUUGCAGAAGUCAUCCUCCUCCAGAUUAUGUCCUUUUGGAGUCAUGAGGAAGAGCCACAUCUCUUCUAGGCUGGGAAUCCAAAAAGCCAGCUUGGCAGGUUAUGUGCAUUAAGUCCACUUAUUCAUGACUCCAUAACUGUCCCCUUGAAACCCAAACCAAUUCGUCAGACAGUGGAAAAAAUAAUUAUUUCUUUUUUUUGUUUGUUCUGUUGGUUGCUCAACCAUUUUUCUUGUAUUCUCCAUUCUAUUUUAUUUGAAGUGGAGGCCAGGAAUUGAUGGGUGGACUUUCAGUGAGGAAAAGGUGGAGAGCACAGAGCUGGAUUUGGGUUUGCAAACAAACUUCUUUAUGCUUGCCUGUGUUUUGUCCUUUUGCAGAGAUGUCCUCUGAAAAACAUUUGAUCCAUUUAUUAGAAAUGAGUUAAAUUUGAGCCAAUGGGAAAUCAUAGAAUCACACAUCACUCUCUGGUCUGCCUGUCCUAAUGCACCAUCACCCUUUCUGAGAAGUUUUUUCUAAUAUCCAACCUGAACCUGAGAGUAAGAAUGCCUGCCAUAAGAAAUCCACAUGCACUGAAUUAAUCAUUCAACUAUGGGAAACAAAUUUAAACCAGAGAGCUGAGGACUUCUCUCAUAACCCAGAUCUUUGGUCACAGUGCAGUUUCUACCUAUCUAUAGAACCUGGAGGAUCAACUGAAGGUUGGUUUUUCUCCUGCUGUCCUCGGUGGACAGGAGAUCAAUGCAGGGAAUGAGCAGAGUUGUGCCCAGUGGAAACAACCAGUUACUCCAAUAGCACAACCACUACAUUCCUUCCAUGUGUCUAGGCUUUUGGGAUACAGGAUGCUGCAGGGACAGCAUGCUUAGCUGUUGAUAAAUUCUCUAGGGCUCCUUUGAGAGGCUGAUGCACUUGCACAGGCAUAGUAAAAUUGCCUGGCAUCAAGUGCCUUGUGUGUCUCAGCACACACACUUCAAAAUUUGAGAGAUUUAGCAGAGCAUACCAGAGUCAUUGUACAUGAUGCUAGAGGCAGUGAAGUUAGCCAGCUUUGCUUAUUAACUACAGUAAAGACUUGAAUUUCUAGGCCAGUUCUUAGUGCUUUAUGAAACUCCUGUUUUGGGGAUACAGUGAUUACAAGAUAGUUAAAGGAAACGUGCUUUGAUUCAGGUUUGAACACUGAUGUCUUUUGGAGAUAGACAAAAGGACAGUAGGAGGCUUUUUUGGUAACUCUCUUCCUAAGAAUUAUUUUACUGCAGUUUUGGCUGUUUUAUUAAUGUGGUUAAAUGUUCUGACUUUUCUUCUUUAGGAAUAUGUGAUGUCAGGUAUCUGGAAAAUGCUAUUACCCCAAAUAAUUGGAAAAACUAUUACAAAGGUGAAAGAGCUAAAUAUUUCUGCAGUACAAAUUAUCAUACUGAAAAUGAAGAUGGUGAAAUUAUGUGCACAAAGAAUGGCUGGUCACCUCCUCCAAGAUAUAUCUGUAAAGUUGAGUGUGCUUAUUUUUUGUCACAGUUUCUAACUGAGACCAAUAAAUCUGUGAUUACAUCUCCCAUGUUAAUCCCUCACCACUACUUAGUGCAACUCUAAGUCUAGGUGCCUUUGUACAGCCUAUCUGUGAUUUCUUGCCUCUUUUCAGUCUCUGGCUGUGCCACUUGAUCCCUGUUUCUCUUGUUUGCUGUCCAGUUGGUAUCAUACUGGAAGGAGGGAGGAACAGGGAAGUUACCUCUCCUAGCAUCAUUUCCAGCUUUUGAACCUGACUUGCACCAAGCCUGAAAUUGCUGGAAUGUCUCACCAGAAUUAUAAAUUCGAGGCUAGGCUGCCCCUGCAAUUAAACUCUGCUGCGUUUCUCUCUAAGUGUUAAUGUUCUUCCAGGAAAGAGUGGAAAAUGUGACCCACCUCCAGAUAUUGAAAAUGGAGAUAUUCUUUCCUUCCCGUUGCCAGAAUAUUCACAAGGUGCAACUCUGAAAUAUAAAUCUCUAUAUCCAGGAAGGAUCUCAGCAGAUCGGAUGUAUUAAUGGACAGUGGACCAAUCCACCAGUUUGCUUAGUGGCCUGUGGGCAGCUGAACAAGGUAUGAACAGUAACAACACUGAGCUGAAAUGGAGGGAAGAAAGAAAGUUUUAUUCCAGAUUGGGUGAUUUUAUCGAAUUUAUUGUAAAAUAGGAAAUGUGGAAGACCCAGCAUCUUCUCUUUUCAGAGUACAAUGUAUUAAUGGCACAUUUAAAUAUCCACGGUGCAAUCCAGAAAGGGGCUGCACAGUGCUUGGGUCAGAAAUGGAUAAGAACAACAUUCAACUACAAUGGAGAAAGCCUUGCACGUAUCGCUCUAAGGAACAGAUUUCCUUUACAUGCAAGUGGCUUCACGGGGCAGUUUCAAGACCAGAGAAAUUUAACCCACAGUGUCUGGAUGGAGAAAGUGUAUUCGGAUAGAUGGAAAUGACGUGACUGAGUCCAGCUGGAGAAAUGAAUGCUCCUUCAACAAAUCCUGUGAUUUGAGCUCGAGUUUUCCUGGGGUUUCCUGCUUUAUUGUGCUUUAUAGCUUAGACAGUGUUCUCCGUUGGAAUUUGCUAAUUCAUUUUCUCAGUACUAUUGGAUGAUUUUGUUCAAAUUUAACCAUUUUUUUGUAAAUGUAUCUACAUUCUGUAACCUUGUUUACAUUUCAUGCACGCAAAUGAUUGUGCUUACUUACAUCUUGCCUAUUCUGCAUUGAUCCCUGAUACUUUCAUUUACAUUUUCAUCCUGAAAAUGUGCAUUGAUUGGCUUUGGUGGCAUAAAACUGAGUCAAGAAUUAAAAAGACUGCAGGUAAUUUGAUUAUCAGUGUGUUUGGCCUCGACUGCUUCUAGCUUCUUCUCCAUGAGCAUGCCUGGAACAUAGCCUGGGAUGAUGGCGGAGGCAGGGUGAGUCAGAGUGAAUCUUCUUUAAACAACUCAGGGGAGUCUCUGGAUCACAGAACCCGAUUCCUACUCAGGACUUGAGCUUCCGUGUUGUUUGGUGGAAAGGCAAGAUGUUGGGAUGCAAGUAACUAACUAGGAUUUCUGGAUGUAGGUAGGCACGACUCCUUUGGUCCAGGUCCUGGAAUGAGCCAUCUUUUUCAUUUUUUGGUGGGUUUGCGUUGCUGUCUUGAUGGAUCUGAGACUCUUGUGCUUUAUUUAUUUAUUUUUUUUGGUAAUUGAUCCAGUGGUGACAUAUUGCAGCUGAUGGAGAGGAACAGGUGAUGUGUUUAUGUGGCACUGGCAUAUUGCUUGUUGGAGAGGGGUUUUACUGCCCUACUUGACAGAGCUCUGUAGAAGAUACGCACAUUUCUCUUGAAGUUCACUUUCCUAAGAAUUUUUUGAAAGGCAGUGUGCGCAGCAAGGGAUGAUUCUUUGACCUUGAAAUGCCUUCAACACAGAGAUUUUUCUUUAACCUCACCUAAUUAAUUCAGCCAGGCUCGUGAAAAUGAACCAAAGCAAUACGCUGCAUUUGUGUACUGUUAAUGGAGUCUGUCUGUCUCGGUAUUCAUCUGGGGUAUAAACAUGAGUUGAAUUCUAAGAAAAUAUAGCAAGUAAGUAGUACCUGAUUUUCCUGUUGUUGCUUUUGCUGAUAAGGGAAAUUUCAGGACAGCUAAAGCCUUGCUUUAGUCACUCCAAAACUAAAUAAUUGGACAUAAUUUCUUGGAGUAAGUUCUCAAGAGAACAAAGGCUGACUGCCUUUGCACACACAGAUCUUUUGUUGCAGGAACUUGGAGAAGAAGGAAUCUUUCAGCUGAAGACUGAGAUGAAUCAAUGCUGAAGGUCCACUAGAACAGUAGGACUCCAGUGUAGGGUGCAAGUACCCCUGUGCAAGAUAAAUCCAUUGAGAGUAGCAAGAAACUAUUAAACCUUCUGUUUAAACUAAAAGAAAAAAAAAAAAAAGAAAAAAGAAAUUGAGGUUUAAUGCCAUCUAACAUACAGAUGUGACAGCGGUGCUCUCACUUGGUCUCUGUGUCAGAGGACCAGCACCAUGGGUCAUAUAAGGCAAUGAAGUGUCCUGGGGGAAGAGCUGGGCUCCAUAUUGCAGAGGGAUUCCAUUUAGCUGUCUGGACUGUGGGAAUGAGAGAGAGGAAGACAGUGUAUUUUAGAUGUUCAUAUUGAGAAGAAGUGUGUGUUGUUUGUUUGUUUGUUUGUUUUUCAACUUUGGUGAAGCCUCUUGUUGCAAAACCUUAUCCAGAUGACAGGAAAAGCACUGCCAGCACUUUCAGUGCAAAGCAAUUUACUUUAUGUGCUCAUCUUUGCAGCCUUACAGAUGGCAUUCAUCUGCCAUCUAUUGUUGCCAAAGGGGACCCCUCCCUCCCCCCUGGCUUCAGCCAGAGCUGAAG
Non-coding RNA from Phasianus colchicus (ring-necked pheasant), 4553 nucleotides. The record is from RefSeq and is a predicted model, not a curated record. NCBI's taxonomy places the organism in Eukaryota, Metazoa, Chordata, Aves, Galliformes, Phasianidae.